This 479-nucleotide long non-coding RNA is filed under the name Canis lupus dingo (dingo). Its description in RNAcentral is "lncRNA (ENSCAFG00020006564.1)". Lineage: Eukaryota; Metazoa; Chordata; Mammalia; Carnivora; Canidae. The record is from RNAcentral.
AGGAGAUUGUUGCUGAGUUGGUUUAUAGUUUCCUGAUCCCAGAGGUACAGAAGGAGUUUGUCAAAGAAAAAGUGAGGAAUGCACAGCGGAAGCAUAUCCUUGCGGCCCAUCAGAUCAUCCACGGGCACACAGAAGACAUGGUCAAGAAGAAUUUUGUUGAGCAAGAGCAAGAUGAAGAGGUCUCAGACACUGACAAGUCACCUGAGGAAGAUACUCAAAAUAAGAAUAGCAGCUAAGGUCCUCCCUGUCCAAGGCCCAAGUCAGCCUCACAACCAGUGAGAUUCAUAAUCCGAUGCUCCCCAGUGCUAGCAGAAUCCCCUAUGGACAGACGGAAGCCGGCCUGAAAGAAAGGAGUCCCAUGACCAUGGGUCCCAGUCACCACCCCUGGCCAAGCUGACUGACAGUGCGACGUGUGCACCAUCUUAUUUCUGCAUUUGGCUGAGGAGAGCAAGGUGAGCAACCCCUUGAUAAAUGCUGAC